GGUCGCGUGGCGAAAUGGAUACCGCGUUAGACUUCGGAUCUAAAGAUUGCGGGUUCGAGUCCCGCCGUGAUCG
Coelomomyces lativittatus is the source of this 73-nucleotide non-coding RNA. NCBI's taxonomy places the organism in Eukaryota, Fungi, Blastocladiomycota, Blastocladiomycetes, Blastocladiales, Coelomomycetaceae. The record is from the annotation of a GenBank genome assembly.